GGGCCCUGCAGCCAGCUCCGGUGUGGGCCUUCUGCCCUGUCAGCAAGAGGGGUCCCUUGGAUCUCACCACCCCGGAGGCCUCUCUGCCUCCUCCAGCUUUCCAUGUCACUGGGAGUCACUCACCAGGGAUGACAGAGGCUUCGAUGGUGACCAGGACUGAGGCCUCUAGGGGGCCGGAGGUGCCCACCACAUGGCACACAUACUCGCCUGAGUCGGCCGGGGUCACCUGGUGCAGCCGCAGCAGCGAGCCGUGGGUCUGUGUGCAAAUGGGGUGGGUUGGGAGGGGGCUGGAACAGUCCCAUCCAGCCCCUCCAGCAAGGUGGUCCCGGGGGGCUGCCAUACCUGGUGCCGGGCAGGGAGGCUGCCCCCACGCUUGUGCCACGUGACCUGGGCGUGGGCCUGCCCGGGCACCACGCAGUUCAGAUCCAGGGUCUGCCCUUCCGCCACGUGUGAGGAGGAGGGCUCGAUGCGGAUGGGCCGGGUGCUGCCGGGCACUGGACACAGAGCGGCUGCUCAGAGGCCUGAACUCUUGGGCUGUAACCUGUAGCCCUGGGGCAGAAGGCUCUGGGCUGUGACCAGGCCCUAGUGGGGACGGCCGACAGGUGGCCUUUCUGGGACUAGGGCCACACCCUUCUGCCUCCACAUGGCCAGCCGAAUAUGGCUUCUUCCCUCCCCAGCCUCUAACCACAAGCUGGAGGCCCAUUGACCCACCCAUGACUUCUUGAUGAUGAGCUCCUCUGGCCCAUAGGGAACCAGCAAGCUUUACUACCCAGGCUGCGCCCAAGGAUGCGGAUGACAGUGAGACACCUCCCUUCUACAGGACGUCUUCCGUGUGCUCACAAGUACUUUCCAUAGACACUGUCUCAUUUAAACCACACCAUGACUGGCCAGGCGCGGUGGCUCAUGCCUAUAAUCCCAGCACUUUGGGAGGCUGAGACGGUCGGAUCACGAGGUCAGGAGAUCGAGACCAUCCUGGCUAACACGGUGAAACCCCGUCUCUACUAAAAAAAAUACAAAAAAUUAGCCGGCCUGGUGGCGGGUGUGCCUGUAGUCCUAGCUACUCAGAAGGCUGAGGCAGGAGAAUGGUGUGAACCCGGAAGGCGGAGCUUGCAGUGAGCCGAGAUCACGCGCCACUGCACUCCAGCCUGGGUGACAGAGCGAGACUCUCUCUCAAAAAAAUAAAAUAAAAUAAAAUAAAAUAAAAUAAAAUAAAAUAAAAUAAUAAAAAAACCACACCAUGACCAAGCAGGUGGGCAGUACUGCUCCAUUUCAUAGAUGAAUCUGAGGCCCCAAAAGUUAAAAGCUAGUUCAAGGUUGCUAAGGGGCAGAUCUGGGAUUUGAACCAGGUCAGCCGACUCCCAGCUUAGUAUUCAACCUGGACAUUCUGCUGCUUCCUGACAAAUUCUGAAACAGUCACUCAUAGGGAGCCCAGGUAAGCUGGACCAGCCUUAACCUCCCUCCCGUCCACUCAACCUCCUUCUCUCUCUGAGCAGGCGCUGAAGGGUCAAAGCCUGCCUGGAAUGCCCCCCUGUCCUGGUCCCACUGAAGAAGCCACAGGCAUCUUCCUUGGGAGCUCCUAGGGCUCAGCCCCGGCCCAGCCACACCUGGCUCCUCACCUGGGGUGUAGCUGGGGCCAGAAUGGGUGCCGUGGAGCACAGACACAGUAAUGGAGGCCUCCUUGGGGCCCGAUCCAUUCUCCACACGGCACACAUAUUCUCCAGAAUCAGCUGGUGAGACCUGGGGGAGCCGCAGACGGGAGCCGUGCACCUGGGCCAGGAGGAGCCAGAGAGAGUCCGUACCUGAAAGGACAACCACUUGGAUCCGGGCCUGGGCAGUGCCUGCAGGGCUGGUGGCCACGCAGAGGUAGAAGCCGGCGUCAGCAGUCGUGAUGGCUGGGAUGAGCAGUGUCGCGAUGUCUGUGCGCUCUGACCGGGCCUGCCGUGGGUGAGAUGGGUCAGCUGCCCCAGAGGCAGCUGGACAACGGCUGGCCAGGGGGACAGAUAGGGCAUAAAAGGGAGAGGCAGGUGCAGGGCCAAUAUUAGGGCCCAGUGGGGCAUGAAGGAGGACAAACGCCAGGCAGCCAAGAGGACGGCAGGGGCUCCCUGCUGGGAUGCAGGGGCAGGAGACCACCAUCUUGGAGGUGAAGGGAGCCACAGAGGAGGAGGUGGGGUGGGGCGUGAAGGGGGAGGGAAGGUGGCUGGGACUCUCUGCAGAGCCUGUGGGCCUCCUCCUCCUGGGUGGGCCCAUCUCCUCACCUGUGGUGGGAGGCUGCCCCCUUCCUUCCUCCAGGUGAUGGUGGCGCUAGGCACGCCUGCAGCCCUGCAGUACAGCCUGACGGUGCGGCCUGCGUGGACCUGGGUCCUCUCUGGGCUCACUUGGACUCUGGGCCCACCGCCCCCUGCAGACAGAGUCCUGUGAGAACACGCCCUGGGCUGAGCACACUCCCGGCCCCCACCCUGAGCCCGGCCUCUCACCAUGCACGUGGAGCACAGCCCUGGCCACCUGCUGCCCAGCGCUGCUGUGGGCUCGGCACAAGUACUGGGCCUGAUCCGUGGGCUCGACAGCUGGCAGGCGCAGGAUGCCGCCGUGGAUUUGUGCCUUCGCAGGGAGCUGGCCGCCGGGGCCCCCUGACGAGUAGACGUGGGGUCAGCACCCACCAAGCCUGCUCAGAGUCCUGCCCCUCCCCUCCCACACCCAGGAGAGUCAGGCCUUGAAUGUCAUUCCCAUCACGGCCUCACCUGUCCACUCGAGGGUGGGCGUGGGGCUCCCUGUGGCGCUGCAGCGGAACUCCGCCAGUUGCCCGGGCUGCACUGUGAGCUGUGGCGGAUGGAUGGAGACCACGGGGGCGGACAAGGCUAGCCCUCCACGGCCAUCUGUGCACACAGGAGCCAGAGGGAGCUUGGGAAAUGUCAACAGGACCUUGUGACCUCCCACCUUGAGACCUGUCCAUGACUCCCUGUUGCUUUUAGAAUAAAAUCCAAAAUUCCUACCCUGAUCCACCA
Molecule: long non-coding RNA, 3002 nt
Filed under: Homo sapiens (human)
Lineage: Eukaryota; Metazoa; Chordata; Mammalia; Primates; Hominidae
Description: HSALNT0002887
Source: RNAcentral